Molecule: unclassified non-coding RNA, 293 nt
Filed under: uncultured fungus
Lineage: Eukaryota; Fungi
Description: partial contains 5.8S ribosomal RNA, internal transcribed spacer 2, and large subunit ribosomal RNA
Rfam family: 5.8S ribosomal RNA (bases 1-52)
Source: RNAcentral
AACGCACCUUGCGCUCCUUGGCAUUCCGAGGAGCAUGCCUGUUUGAGUGUCAUUAAAUCAUCAACCACCUCAUCUUUGAGAGGGUUGGACUUGGAGGCUCUGCUGGCCCUCUCUGGGACCCGGCUCCUCUGAAAAGCAUUAGCAGGGGCUCAUCUUGUGCGAUCUGCGGCCUUGUGUGAUAGUUAUCUACACUCGGCACGGUCACAUUCACCCAGCUCACAGCCGUCUGCCAGCGCGGACAACUUAUUUGACCACUUGACCUCAAAUCAGGUAGGACUACCCGCUGAACUUAA